Molecule: ribosomal RNA, 500 nt
Filed under: uncultured bacterium
Lineage: Bacteria
Description: bacterial SSU rRNA
Rfam family: Bacterial small subunit ribosomal RNA
Source: RNAcentral
AUUGAACGCUGGCGGAAUGCUUUACACAUGCAAGUCGAACGGUAGAGGGGGCAACCCCUUGAGAGUGGCGAACGGGUGAGUAAUAUAUCGGAACGUGCCCAGUCGUGGGGAUAACGUAGCGAAAGUUACGCUAAUACCGCAUACGAUCUAAGGAUGAAAGCGGGGGACUCGCAAGAGCCUCGCGCGAUUGGAGCGGCCGAUAUCAGAUUAGGUAGUUGGUGGGGUAAAGGCUCACCAAGCCAACGAUCUGUAGCUGGUCUGAGAGGACGACCAGCCACACUGGAACUGAGACACGGUCCAGACUCCUACGGGAGGCAGCAGUGGGGAAUUUUGGACAAUGGACGCAAGUCUGAUCCAGCCAUUCCGCGUGCAGGAUGAAGGCCCUCGGGUUGUAAACUGCUUUUGUACGGAACGAAAAGGUUUCUAUUAAUACUAGGAGCUCAUGACGGUACCGUAAGAAUAAGCACCGGCUAACUACGUGCCAGCAGCCGCGGUAAAGU